UAUAUAAUAUCUUAAAAUAAAAGUAUUGAUUUUUUAAAUCAAUUAUAGUAUAUUUAUUAAAUACUUUAUAUAA
RNAcentral lists this transfer RNA (73 nucleotides) under Gonatocerus sp. ZCS-2018. RNAcentral describes it as "tRNA-Lys". Lineage: Eukaryota; Metazoa; Arthropoda; Insecta; Hymenoptera; Mymaridae. The record is from RNAcentral.